Molecule: ribosomal RNA, 3029 nt
Filed under: Salmonella enterica
Lineage: Bacteria; Pseudomonadati; Pseudomonadota; Gammaproteobacteria; Enterobacterales; Enterobacteriaceae
Description: bacterial LSU rRNA
Rfam family: Bacterial large subunit ribosomal RNA
Source: RNAcentral
GGGUUGUGAGGUUAAGCGACUAAGCGUACACGGUGGAUGCCCUGGCAGUCAGAGGCGAUGAAGGACGUGCUAAUCUGCGAUAAGCGCCGGUAAGGUGAUAUGAACCGUUAUAACCGGCGAUUUCCGAAUGGGGAAACCCAGUGUGACUCGUCACACUAUCAUUAACUGAAUCCAUAGGUUAAUGAGGCGAACCGGGGGAACUGAAACAUCUAAGUACCCCGAGGAAAAGAAAUCAACCGAGAUUCCCCCAGUAGCGGCGAGCGAACGGGGAGGAGCCCAGAGCCUGAAUCAGCAUGUGUGUUAGUGGAAGCGUCUGGAAAGGCGCGCGAUACAGGGUGACAGCCCCGUACACAAAAGCGCAUGUGCUGUGAGCUCGAUGAGUAGGGCGGGACACGUGGUAUCCUGUCUGAAUAUGGGGGGACCAUCCUCCAAGGCUAAAUACUCCUGACUGACCGAUAGUGAACCAGUACCGUGAGGGAAAGGCGAAAAGAACCCCGGCGAGGGGAGUGAAAAAGAACCUGAAACCGUGUACGUACAAGCAGUGGGAGCCCCACCACUAAGCCAGUGGUGAACUCCACAUACGCAUCCUUUGCUGAGGAUACGGUUAACGGAGCGAAAGCGACGUUCAACCGCAAAAGAAGCAGAGGGGGCUUAGUGGUGGGGUGACUGCGUACCUUUUGUAUAAUGGGUCAGCGACUUAUAUUCUGUAGCAAGGUUAACCGAAUAGGGGAGCCGGAGGGAAACCGAGUCUUAAUUGGGCGUUAAGUUGCAGGGUAUAGACCCGAAACCCGGUGAUCUAGCCAUGGGCAGGUUGAAGGUUGGGUAACACUAACUGGAGGACCGAACCGACUAAUGUUGAAAAAUUAGCGGAUGACCUGUGGCUGGGGGUGAAAGGCCAAUCAAACCGGGAGAUAGCUGGUUCUCCCCGAAAGCUAUUUAGGUAGCGCCUCGUGAAUUCAUCUCCGGGGGUAGAGCACUGUUUCGGCUAGGGGGCCAUCCCGGCUUACCAACCCGAUGCAAACUGCGAAUACCGGAGAAUGUUAUCACGGGAGACACACGGCGGGUGCUAACGUCCGUCGUGAAGAGGGAAACAACCCAGACCGCCAGCUAAGGUCCCAAAGUCAUGGUUAAGUGGGAAACGAUGUGGGAAGGCCCAGACAGCCAGGAUGUUGGCUUAGAAGCAGCCAUCAUUUAAAGAAAGCGUAAUAGCUCACUGGUCGAGUCGGCCUGCGCGGAAGAUGUAACGGGGCUAAACCAUGCACCGAAGCUGCGGCAGCGACACUCAGGUGUUGUUGGGUAGGGGAGCGUUCUGUAAGCCUGUGAAGGUGGCCUGUGAGGGUUGCUGGAGGUAUCAGAAGUGCGAAUGCUGACAUAAGUAACGAUAAAGCGGGUGAAAAGCCCGCUCGCCGGAAGACCAAGGGUUCCUGUCCAACGUUAAUCGGGGCAGGGUGAGUCGACCCCUAAGGCGAGGCCGAAAGGCGUAGUCGAUGGGAAACGGGUUAAUAUUCCCGUACUUGGUGUUACUGCGAAGGGGGGACGGAGAAGGCUAUGUUGGCCGGGCGACGGUUGUCCCGGUUUAAGCGUGUAGGUGUGUGUUCCAGGUAAAUCCGGUUCACUUUAACACUGAGGCGUGAUGACGAGGCACUACGGUGCUGAAGCAACAAAUGCCCUGCUUCCAGGAAAAGCCUCUAAGCAUCAGGUAACAUCAAAUCGUACCCCAAACCGACACAGGUGGUCAGGUAGAGAAUACCAAGGCGCUUGAGAGAACUCGGGUGAAGGAACUAGGCAAAAUGGUGCCGUAACUUCGGGAGAAGGCACGCUGACAUGUAGGUGAAGUGAUUUACUCACGGAGCUGAAGUCAGUCGAAGAUACCAGCUGGCUGCAACUGUUUAUUAAAAACACAGCACUGUGCAAACACGAAAGUGGACGUAUACGGUGUGACGCCUGCCCGGUGCCGGAAGGUUAAUUGAUGGGGUCAGCGCAAGCGAAGCUCCUGAUCGAAGCCCCGGUAAACGGCGGCCGUAACUAUAACGGUCCUAAGGUAGCGAAAUUCCUUGUCGGGUAAGUUCCGACCUGCACGAAUGGCGUAAUGAUGGCCAGGCUGUCUCCACCCGAGACUCAGUGAAAUUGAACUCGCUGUGAAGAUGCAGUGUACCCGCGGCAAGACGGAAAGACCCCGUGAACCUUUACUAUAGCUUGACACUGAACAUUGAGCCUUGAUGUGUAGGAUAGGUGGGAGGCUUUGAAGUGUGGACGCCAGUCUGCAUGGAGCCGACCUUGAAAUACCACCCUUUAAUGUUUGAUGUUCUAACGUGGACCCGUGAUCCGGGUUGCGGACAGUGUCUGGUGGGUAGUUUGACUGGGGCGGUCUCCUCCUAAAGAGUAACGGAGGAGCACGAAGGUUGGCUAAUCCCUGGUCGGACAUCAGGAGGUUAGUGCAAUGGCAUAAGCCAGCUUGACUGCGAGCGUGACGGCGCGAGCAGGUGCGAAAGCAGGUCAUAGUGAUCCGGUGGUUCUGAAUGGAAGGGCCAUCGCUCAACGGAUAAAAGGUACUCCGGGGAUAACAGGCUGAUACCGCCCAAGAGUUCAUAUCGACGGCGGUGUUUGGCACCUCGAUGUCGGCUCAUCACAUCCUGGGGCUGAAGUAGGUCCCAAGGGUAUGGCUGUUCGCCAUUUAAAGUGGUACGCGAGCUGGGUUUAGAACGUCGUGAGACAGUUCGGUCCCUAUCUGCCGUGGGCGCUGGAGAACUGAGGGGGGCUGCUCCUAGUACGAGAGGACCGGAGUGGACGCAUCACUGGUGUUCGGGUUGUCAUGCCAAUGGCACUGCCCGGUAGCUAAAUGCGGAAGAGAUAAGUGCUGAAAGCAUCUAAGCACGAAACUUGCCCCGAGAUGAGUUCUCCCUGAGACUUUAAGUCUCCUGAAGGAACGUUGAAGACGACGACGUUGAUAGGCCGGGUGUGUAAGCGCAGCGAUGCGUUGAGCUAACCGGUACUAAUGAACCGUGAGGCUUAACCUUACAACGCCGAAG